UUCUUAUCAAGAGCAGGUGGAGGGAAAAGCCCGAUGAAGCCCGGCAACCGACUUAACCAUUAAGUUAAGCACGGUGCUAAAUCUUGCAGCUAAUUGCUGAAAGAUGAGAA
Molecule: non-coding RNA, 110 nt
Filed under: Bacillus sp. (in: firmicutes)
Lineage: Bacteria; Bacillati; Bacillota; Bacilli; Caryophanales; Bacillaceae
Also listed under: 1 other name
Description: Bacillus sp. SAM-I sequence
Rfam family: SAM riboswitch aptamer (S box leader)
About the family: The SAM riboswitch is found upstream of a number of genes which code for proteins involved in methionine or cysteine biosynthesis in Gram-positive bacteria. The SAM riboswitch acts at the level of transcription termination control.
Source: RNAcentral